Molecule: non-coding RNA, 287 nt
Organism: Hydra vulgaris (swiftwater hydra)
Lineage: Eukaryota; Metazoa; Cnidaria; Hydrozoa; Anthoathecata; Hydridae
Source: RefSeq, a predicted model, not a curated record
UAAAAAGCUCUGAUAUAAAACAUCAAAUUUAACUGCAAAAGUUGGAGGAGCCAACACAUAUUAGAUUAUAUAAAAAUCUUUAACUUUUCAUAAUGUUUUCGGAAAAGUUGUAGUAGUUUUCGAUUAAAAAAAAAAAAAGGUGUGUAUAUUCAAAACAAACCUGUUUGUCAAAAGAAUUGCAUCGAACAAAGUUGUUACACGAAGAAUGGAGGAAGAAAAAACUUUUUAUGGAACAUCAAAUGGAAUUUUAUUAACACAUAAUAGUUUUUAUUAAAACGACUAAUAAA